UACAGAGGUCUCAAGCGUUGCUCGGAAUUAUUGGGCGUAAAGGGCGCGUAGGCGGCCAUUCAAGUGACGGGUGAAAGCCCUCGGCUUAACCGAGGAACUGCCUGUCAGACUGGAUGGCUUGAGACCGGGAGAGGUGAGUGGAAUUCCCAGUGUAGCGGUGAAAUGCGCAGAUAUCGGGAGGAACACCUAUGGCGAAGGCAGCUCGCUGGGACGUUACUGACGCUGAGACGCGAAAGCGUGGGGAGCAAACAGG
This 253-nucleotide ribosomal RNA is filed under the name uncultured bacterium. RNAcentral describes it as "partial 16S ribosomal RNA". It matches the Rfam family "Bacterial small subunit ribosomal RNA", at positions 524 to 776 of the family's 1533-position model. The record is from RNAcentral.